UUUUAUGGAGAGUUUGAUCCUGGCUCAGGAUGAACGCUGGCGGCGUGCCUAAUACAUGCAAGUCGAGCGAACGGACGAGAAGCUUGCUUCUCUGAUGUUAGCGGCGGACGGGUGAGUAACACGUGGAUAACCUACCUAUAAGACUGGGAUAACUUCGGGAAACCGGAGCUAAUACCGGGUAAUAUUUUGAAACGCAUGGUUCAAAAGUGAAAGACGGUCUUGCUGUCACUUAUAGAUGGAUCCGCGCUGCAAUAGCUAGUUGGUAAGGUAACGGCUUACCCAGGC
This 285-nucleotide ribosomal RNA is filed under the name Staphylococcus aureus. RNAcentral's name for it is "partial 16S ribosomal RNA". It matches the Rfam family "Bacterial small subunit ribosomal RNA", at positions 1 to 274 of the family's 1533-position model. Lineage: Bacteria; Bacillati; Bacillota; Bacilli; Caryophanales; Staphylococcaceae. The record is from RNAcentral.